Molecule: ribosomal RNA, 312 nt
Filed under: Symbiodinium sp. SydD3
Lineage: Eukaryota; Dinophyceae; Suessiales; Symbiodiniaceae
Description: partial large subunit ribosomal RNA
Rfam family: Eukaryotic large subunit ribosomal RNA
Source: RNAcentral
UCUACCUGGGUGAGAAUCCUGUGUUUCGCUUGAUGUCCGCCGUGCACGGUACUUGCUCACAGAGUCACGCUCCUCGGAAUUGGAGCGUAAAUUGGGUGGUAAAUUUCAUCUAAAGCUAAAUACAGGCUCGAGACCGAUAGCAAACAAGUACCAUGAGGGAAAGAUGAAAAGGACUUUGAAAAGAGAGUUAAAAGUGUUUGAAAUCGCUGAACUGGAAGCGAAUGGAACUAGUGCUCUGGCUGAGAUUGCUGUAAGUGGCAGCCAAAUUUGGGUGUCUGAACGCAAGUCUNUCACCUGGCUGUAAGCUGUUGC